RNAcentral lists this ribosomal RNA (426 nucleotides) under uncultured bacterium. RNAcentral's name for it is "bacterial SSU rRNA". It matches the Rfam family "Bacterial small subunit ribosomal RNA", at positions 87 to 507 of the family's 1533-position model. The record is from RNAcentral.
UUGAGAGUGGGACGAACGGGUGAGUAAUAUAUCGGAACGUCGCCCAGUCGGUGGGGGAUAACGUAGCGAAAGUUACGCUAAUACCGCAUACGAUCUACGGAUGAAAGCGGGGGAUCGCAAGACCUCGCGCGAUUGGAGCGGCCGAUAUCAGAUUAGGUAGUUGGUGAGGUAAAGGCUCACCAAGCCGACGAUCUGUAGCUGGUCUGAGAGGACGACCAGCCACACUGGGACUGAGACACGGCCCAGACUCCUACGGGAGGCAGCAGUGGGGAAUUUUGGACAAUGGGCGCAAGCCUGAUCCAGCAAUGCCGCGUGCAGGAUGAAGGCCUUCGGGUUGUAAACUGCUUUUGUACGGAACGAAACGGUGAGCUCUAAUACAGUUUGCUAAUGACGGUACCGUAAGAAUAAGCACCGGCUAACUACGUG